RNAcentral lists this ribosomal RNA (497 nucleotides) under uncultured bacterium. Its description in RNAcentral is "partial 16S ribosomal RNA". It matches the Rfam family "Bacterial small subunit ribosomal RNA", at positions 28 to 507 of the family's 1533-position model. The record is from RNAcentral.
GAUGAACGCUGGCGGCGUGCCUAAUACAUGCAAGUCGAGCGAACAGACGAGGAGCUUGCUCCUCUGACGUUAGCGGCGGACGGGUGAGUAACACGUGGAUAACCUACCUAUAAGACUGGGAUAACUUCGGGAAACCGGAGCUAAUACCGGAUAAUAUAUUGAACCGCAUGGUUCAAUAGUGAAAGACGGUUUUGCUGUCACUUAUAGAUGGAUCCGCGCCGCAUUAGCUAGUUGGUAAGGUAACGGCUUACCAAGGCAACGAUGCGUAGCCGACCGGACAGGGUGAUCGGCCACACUGGAACUGAGACACGGUCCAGACGCCUACGGGAGGCAGCAGUAGGGAAUCUUCCGCAAUGGGCGAAAGCCUGACGGAGCAACGCCGCGUGAGUGAUGAAGGUCUUCGGAGCGUAAAACUCUGUUAUUAGGGAAGAACAAAUGUGUAAGUAACUAUGCACGUCUUGACGGUACCUAAUCAGAAAGCCACGGCUAACUACGUG